GCAGUCGAGCGGCAGCACGGGAUACUUGUACCUGGUGGCGAGCGGCGGACGGGUGAGUAAUGCCUAGGAAUCUGCCUGGUAGUGGGGGAUAACGCUCGGAAACGGACGCUAAUACCGCAUACGUCCUACGGGAGAAAGCAGGGGACCUUCGGGCCUUGCGCUAUCAGAUGAGCCUAGGUCGGAUUAGCUAGUUGGUGGGGUAAUGGCUCACCAAGGCGACGAUCCGUAACUGGUCUGAGAGGAUGAUCAGUCACACUGGAACUGAGACACGGUCCAGACUCCUACGGGAGGCAGCAGUGGGGAAUAUUGGACAAUGGGCGAAAGCCUGAUCCAGCCAUGCCGCGUGUGUGAAGAAGGUCUUCGGAUUGUAAAGCACUUUAAGUUGGGAGGAAGGGCAGUUACCUAAUACGUAUCUGUUUUGACGUUACCGACAGAAUAAGCACCGGCUAACUCUGUGCCAGCAGCCGCGGUAAUACAGAGGGUGCAAGCGUUAAUCGGAAUUACUGGGCGUAAAGCGCGCGUAGGUGGUUUGUUAAGUUGAAUGUGAAAUCCCCGGGCUCAACCUGGGAACUGCAUGCAAAACUGGCAAGCUAGAGUAUGGUAGAGGGUGGUGGAAUUUCCUGUG
Molecule: ribosomal RNA, 625 nt
Filed under: Pseudomonas sp. SOK13
Lineage: Bacteria; Pseudomonadati; Pseudomonadota; Gammaproteobacteria; Pseudomonadales; Pseudomonadaceae
Description: bacterial SSU rRNA
Rfam family: Bacterial small subunit ribosomal RNA
Source: RNAcentral